AGCAUCCCCGCAUCCCUGCACCCCAGCAUCCCAGCCCCGGGCGCUAGCUAGCCCACGCGGGUACCAAGCAGAGCCGAAAACGCAGCGCACUUCGGGGUCCCGAGGUGAAAAGGCGUAGAUGGAAACGAGAAGGGGCGUCCGAUUCUGUUUUACUCGAGAUGGAAACGAGGAGGGACGUGUGAACCUACUUUAUUCCAUUCAGUAGGGUUGAUUUUCUGAUGGAGGCAGGGCAAAACGGGAUACGGUCCUCAUUCUACUGGCUCUGAGCAUGUUCUGAUCCUUACCGUUUGCCAGUCCUUAAAGUUUUGGUGGGAAUAAACCGGAGGGAACCCCAUUUCUCACGCGCCUGGGGGUCAGUGAGGCAGAUGAGGCAGGACGGAGGGUCUCUGUUGGUUGGCAUGUCCCAGCUCUCCAGUAUUAUCAGGAAUGGAAGUUGGGAGUCCUGAUGAUGCUCAGACUCAGAGUUGGCAAGUGGAGAGCCUCAGUUUAUUAGCCUAUUAGCUAAUGGGCUCCUUUACUAGAAAGGAGGAAGAGAAAACAAAGGGAGAGGGAGGGACUACUCUGGUGAUGAGUUGUGCGGUGUUGGAAUUAUGUGCAUGUGUAAACAGGACUCCUAGUGUGGUAAACCACAGAAUUUGAAUUAAAAAACUUCAAAGUAAAAGCCUAAGUACCAAAGGAAAAAAAAGUAGAAGAGAAAAACAAGAGAAACUCCCCAGGUGGGAAGGAAUGUAGUUUAUUUUGUGGAGUUUUCAUAGGGAACUGGCUCUUUGUCUUACAGGGGGUGCAGACUUUAGAGAUAAGGGGGGUUUCCUACAGACCCUUUGAGAUGGAAAUUGAGUUCUUGGCAGAUCCCUGUCAGGCUGUUUGCCCUAGGUCUUGCCCAUUAUCUCAGCUUCCCAGGGGAGCCUGAGCUCUGGGGCAGAAUGUUUGGAUGGAGCUUGGCUAACUCCCAGUGGAUCAGAAAAAGGUGUGGGAUUUGUGGGAAGUCAGAAAUGUAGGAUGUGGGGCUGGAGCAAUAGCACAGUGGGUAGGGCGUUUGUCUUGCAUGUGGCCGACCCAGGUUCCAUUCCCAGCAUCCCAUAUGGUUCCCUGAGCACCGCCAGGAGUAAUUCCUGAGUGCAUGAGCCAGGAGUAACCCCUGUGCAUCACUGGGUGUGACCCAAAAAGCAAAAAAAAAAAAAAAAAAGUAGGAUGCGCCUGCCCUGCUGGGGCCUGCUCCCUGUGGCUGGAUCGGGCUGGAGUGGACACCGAGGCGCUCUCAGCAGCGCUGUGCCGGGAGGGAAGCGGGUCUCAGUGCAGGGAAGGUCGUUCUGGUGGUGCUGGAACAGCCGUGUGAUGGGCAACUCGGUAAAUCAGGGUGUUUUUCACAGAACAUUGUUUUUAGAAAGUAUGUGGAGCAGAGAGAGCUAAAAUGGAGCCAUGUGCAGCCGCCAAGGACGGGAAACUGAGGCUUCCUCCUGCCCUCACUCACCCCAGGACCCUUUCCUUCAUGUUCCAGGUGCUGUGCCGGGUCCCCAUGGCAGGCACAGAUCCUGGAACACAGAAGGCACGAAGACGGGGCCGGAGCGGGUCCUGGUCUCAAGCAGAGACCACCUGUCUACCCGCUGGUGAUUGACGACCCCUCGCCAGAUUCCGCUCUCAGGGCGCUGUUUGGAAAGGUCGAGAGUUUUAAAAUUCCUUUUGGCUUUGGGGACUGUGUGCCCGAGGCUUGCUCCUGGCUCUGUGCUCAGGCUGCUUCACCAGGAAAUCCACAGGCGAAGAUGCCGCAGGGGGAAUUAACCCCAAGAAGGGGAAGCGCCUCUGUCCUGUCACAGCAGCUGUUUGCAGGACAGGGAGUGGCGGCUGGGUCAGGUGGCUUCACUAACGCUAUUCUCUGUGGCUUCAGAAGCUGCAGGCACCCGGUUCUGGGCUCCGUGGCCUCCGACACCAUCCUAAAAAGUCAGUGCGGGGGCAGCAGGUUGUGGCUGGGCUCAGGAGUCGAGGUUAGCAGCACGCUGCUGCCGCCCAAGCUCAGGGCGCCUCCAGAUUCUCCUUUCGGCCUCUCCAGGGGUCUUUUAAUCUCAGUUCCCCGACAAGGGAUCACUCGGGGUGGGGUGGUGAUGUCGGAGCACCCCACUUAGGCGAGGCUUGUGUGAAGUGGGAGGAAAGACACAGACGGUCACUUUCUCCCCAUCUGCCUCUGUUCGCAGGGACUCAGGGUCACUGUGUUCUUGUCUCGCCUCACAGAAAAGGAUUUCAGGAGUAGAUGAGCAGUGAAGUGAAACAGAUUUCAAAGGAACAGGUUUCAAAGGGGAGGAAGGAGAGAAAGUGGGAGAGAGGGGAGAGGAACGUGCUCAAGAGAGAACCGUGGGCUUCUCCAGAGGCAGAGAGAGCCUACACACACCCCAGCAGGAGACUUGGAAGGAUCAGAGGCCAACCCUCAAGAGGGAAGAUGCAGGCGACACAGGUGCCUGGCCACAUGGGCAAAAGCGGCACAUGUUGCCCCUCCCUUUGCUCAAGGUGGCUUUCAUAGGGGUUUUUCCAGCCUGGCCCCACCUGGGGUUUCUACCCAGCUGCAGCUUCUCUAGCAGGGGGGUCCAAUCUGCUCCAGGUCUGUUGCUGGCCACCCACCCUGUGCUGUCGCUCAGGCCUGCAGUGCUGCUGUGCCCCCCAGGAGUCUGGAGCCAUCAAGAGCAGCGGCCCGGGAGCUGGUCAGCGGCCGGAGACUCACCCGGGGGACAGGCUGGGUAGACACUGUACAGGGACCUCUGCGGGGACUCCGGGCAGGUUUUUGUCUCCCAUGGUGGUGCUGAGGACUUACUGCUGGCUCUGCUCCGAAGACACUCCUGUGGGGUCUGUGCGCCAGAGUCUCUGCAUUCUCCCACGACUACAGGCUCACUCGUGCUGGAGUGUUUAGAGAAGAGGCAGCCAUUUCCCUAUCACGGGAGCCCCGGUUCAUUGGGUCCCCUGAAGGAAUCUUUCUUCUCCUGCCUUGACUCAGGAGGGUGGAAGGGGUGCAGCCACUUGGGCCUUGCCCUCUGCAUGCAGGCACCGGCGUUUCCUGAGCAGCAGUGACGAAGGUCCUGCCAUCAUCGUCCAGAGGAGCCCACAGUGGCCCUGAAACACACGUGUGUGGUGGGACCCAGCCCUGGCACCGUGUCUGUGCUGCUGGCUCACUCGUGCUGGAGUGUUGAGAAAACAGGCAGCCGUUUCCUUGUCACGGGAGUCGGUCCUUUGGGUCCCCUGAAGGAAUCUUUCUUCUCCUGCCUUGACUCAAGAGGCGCUGGUGUUUCCUGAGCAGCAGAGAAGAAGGUCACACCGUCAUCGUCCAAAGGACCACCACAGCGGCCCUGGAACACACGUGUGUGGUGGAACCCAGCCUUGGCACAGUGUCUGUGCUGCUAUGGGGUCUGUGCGCCAGUGUCUCCAUGCAUUCUCCCGUGACUGCAGGCUCACUCAUGCUGGAGUGUUGAGAAAAGAGGCAGCUGUUUCCUUGUCACGGAGCCCGGGCCUUUUGGGUCCCCUGAAGGAAUCUCUCCUCCUGCCUUGACUCAAGAGAAAAGAUUCCGUCAUGGGCCAGCUUUCAAAAACUUCUCCCCUGAAUCAGUGCUGUGUCACAUUCAGAGUCUUCACAGUCAUCUCGGGACAAUGCAUGACGGCAGCACGGAGACCACCUCUGAGAUUCUGAGAAGGGCCCCGAUAUAUUUUCCCCUGCUCUUGGAAAGACCAGCUGAGUCUGGAAAGAGCGUCUGAGUUGUGGCCUGCGGCCCCCGGCUAGAACCACAGCAGAGACUCGGGCUCAGGCCUUCUGGGGCGACUGGGAUAGGAACUUGCAAUGGGAAAGCGAUGCCGCUGUCCCCGCAGACUCUGGCUGUGAAGGGCGGGGACACUCAGCAGGGAGAUGGGCCUUGCAGGGAGUUGAGAAGUGCGUUGACCCUUGAACCUGAUGGAAACACGGGUCUCCUCUGCCCACCGCCAGCCAGUGCUCCUUGGGACCAGCAAGCCCCCCCCCCACACACACAAAAGCACAGACAUCAGUUUCUUCUGCGUUGUGGGAUGCAGCGCUCAGCGCGAUGUGGAAGGAGUCAGUGUGGGUUAGUGGCGCGAGGCCAGGUGCCACGUGAUCUGCCCUGUCAUCGGACUUGUCAGGGACUGUUUUCUAGGAAGGCCUGAUGACGACCAUAAGGGUUUGCUUUGGGACGUCGCCAGAGAUGCCACGUCAGCCCCGUCCAUCUCUCCAUCCUUUGGUUACUUUGCUGCAUGAUGUAGUUGAAGGCACGUGGCACCUUUUCACCGCCGUUCACGUGGCCCCAUAGUCCUGUGCAAGAGGAGGGGUCCGGGCCCCAGGUUCCCCAUGGGGGCUGCGUGUUGGCCUCAGACCUGGUGGUCUGGCACAGGGAGUGAGGCUUCAUCUUCCGCCUGGCUCCGUCUUCUGCCUAGCUUCACCCUCCGCAUGUGAUUUGCCCUCUGCGUGGCUUUGUCCUUUGCACAUGGCUUUGUCCUCUGCGUGGUUUGUCCUCUGCAUGGCUUCAUCUUCCACGUGGCUUUGUCCUCCACAUGACUUCAUCCUCCGCGUGGCUAUGGAGCCCUGUGUGUGUCCCUUGUGUGGGUGCUAGCUGGGACCGGUGUCCCCGGGGAUCCCCUUUGGAAGGGAAGCAUGGUGCUGAACUGUACUGGCCCAGGCUGGUGCGAGCACAGUGAGCAUCAGGAGGUGAGUUCAGAACGAGCACCGGCCUCACCAACUGCCAGAAUGAGCCCCGGAAAAUUGCACAGCCUGGCGGUGCCCGUCCUGAAGGGAAGCUGCCGUCACAGCUGGAUGUGUUCAUGCAGCGAGUUGGGAAACAGUUCUGCAGUUGUCUCGCCGCUCACAGCCGUUCUCCAGGGCGGGCCUUUGCCUCGUGUCUAAUUACUUGUUUUUACAUUUAUCAAAAUCUGUGCCAAGACUUUCCAUAGGAGCUGCAUAAUAAAUGCCACUUUGGGUUUUCACA
Long non-coding RNA from Sorex araneus (European shrew), 4967 nucleotides. RefSeq lists it as uncharacterized. The transcript is spliced from 10 exons. The record is from RefSeq and is a predicted model, not a curated record. Lineage: Eukaryota; Metazoa; Chordata; Mammalia; Eulipotyphla; Soricidae.